This 852-nucleotide ribosomal RNA is filed under the name Triticum aestivum (bread wheat). RNAcentral's name for it is "partial small subunit ribosomal RNA". Lineage: Eukaryota; Viridiplantae; Streptophyta; Magnoliopsida; Poales; Poaceae. The record is from RNAcentral.
AUGGCGUUAGUGCGGGAGCCGAUGGUGAUGUGCGGCGGCGGCUUCGACGCCGAGGCCCCCGUGUUCGACGCGCUCGGCUACGGUGGCCACUACGCGCUGCUCGGAGGCCUGGACGCGGCGGCGCUCUUCGGGGGCUAUGCGUACGCCCAUGACGAGCCAGCCGGCGCCGCCAGCGCCUACGCGCCGGAGAGCGCGAGCUGGGCAGGCGCGGGGGCGUCCGUGCUCGCGUUCGACCGCGCCUCGCGGGGCCAGGCGGUCCAGGCUCUCGCGGAGGAGGAGGCGUGGAUGGACGCCAUGGACGAGGACCAGCACGCGGGCCCAGCGUCCACCAUAGGGUUCGACCCAGCCACAGGCUGCUUCAGCCUGACGCAGAGCUCCGGCGGCGCGCGGCGGCCGUUCGGGCUCCUGUUCCCGAGCACGUCCAACGGCUCGCCCGAUGCCGCAGAACCGGCGCGCGGUUCCUCGAAGCGAUCGUACGCGGACCAGGAGGCGGAGCCGCGGGCCAGCAAGAAGCCGUGCGGUGCGAGCAGGAAGACGAGCAAGGCGAAGCCGGCGGCGCCCACCACCACCUCGGCCAAGGGGGGCCCGCAAAGCCACACCGCAAAGAACCGGCGGGAGAAGAUCAGCGAACGGCUCCGGACACUGCAGGAGCUGGUGCCCAACGGCACCAAGGUCGACAUGGUCACCAUGCUCGAGAAGGCAUUCAGCUACGUCAAGUUCCUGCAGCUGCAAGUCAAGGUGCUGGCGACGGACGAGUUCUGGCCGGCGCAAGGGGGAACGGCGCCGGAGAUCUCCCAGGUGAAGGAGGCGCUGGACGCCAUCUUAUCGUCGCAGAGGGUGCAACUGAACUGA